AAAGUCGUAACAAGGUUUCCGUAGGUGAACCUGCGGAAGGAUCAUUACAAAUCGAGGGAGAAUUGAAGUGUUGGACCGUGGGGGGGGGAGAAUUAAGAAUGAGAUUGUAGUUUACAACAAAACAAAAAAAUAACAACUUUUAACAAUGGAUCUCUAGGCUCUU
Molecule: unclassified non-coding RNA, 163 nt
Filed under: Basidiomycota sp.
Lineage: Eukaryota; Fungi; Basidiomycota
Description: partial contains small subunit ribosomal RNA, internal transcribed spacer 1, and 5.8S ribosomal RNA
Rfam family: Eukaryotic small subunit ribosomal RNA (bases 1-47)
Source: RNAcentral